GGAUUAACGCUAGCGGGAUGCCUAAUACAUGCAAGUCGGACGAAGCACUUGUGCUUAGUGGCGAACGGGUGAGUAACACGUAUCUAACAUACCUUUUAGUGGGGGAUAACUGGUUGAAAAACUAGCUAAUACCGCAUAGGACAUUACUAUCGCAUGAGAAAAUGUUUAAAGUUGCGUUUGCAACGCUUUAAGAUUGAGGUGUGGCAUAUCAGAUAGUUGGUAGGGUAACGGCCUACCAAGUCUAUGACGUGUAGCUGUGCUGAGAGGCAAAACAGCCACAAUGGAACUGAGACACGGUCCAUACUUCUACGGGAGGCAGCAGUAGGGAAUUUUUCACAAUGGGCGCAAGCCUGAUGGAGCAAUCCCGCGUGAACGACGAAGGUUUUUUAAAUUGUAAAGUUCUUUUAUUGGGGACGAAUUGUAAGAAGAGGAAAUGCUUUUUAUUUGACUGUACCCUUUGAAUAAGUAUCGGCUAACUAUGUGCCAGCAGCCGCGGUAAUACAUAGGAUGCAAGCGUUAUCCGGAUUUACUGGGCGUAAAGCGAGCGCAGGCGGAUUUACAAGUCUGGUGUUAAAUAUAGCUGCCCAACAGUUAUAUGCAUUGGAAACUGUAAGUCUAGAGUGCAGUAGAGAGUUUUGGAACUCCAUGUGGAGCGGUGGAAUGCGUAGAUAUAUGGAAGAACACCAGAGGCGAAGGCGAAAACUUAGGCUGUUACUGACGCUUAGGCUCGAAAGUGUGGGGAGCAAAUAGGAUUAGAUACCCUAGUAGUCCACACCGUAAACGAUGGUAAUUAAAUCUUGGUACGGGAUGUAUCAGGAUUGCAGUUAACACAUUAAAUUACCCGCCUGGGUAGUACAUUCGCAAGAAUGAAACUCAAACGGAAUUGACGGGGACCCGCACAAGUGGUGGAGCAUGUUGCUUAAUUCGACGAUACACGUAAAACCUUACCUGGGUUUGACAUCCUCUGCAAAGCUAUAGAGAUAUAGUGGAGGUUAACAGAGUGACAGGUGGUGCAUGGUUGUCGUCAGCUCGUGUCGUGAGAUGUUGGGUUAAGUCCCGCAACGAGCGCAACCCUUAUCGUUAGUUACUUCAUCUAGCGAGACUGCCAGCGUAAGCUGGAGGAAGGUGGGGAUGACGUCAAAUCAUCAUGCCCUUUAUAUCCAGGGCCGCAAACGUGCUACAAUGGUCGGUACAAACUGUUGCCAAUCAGCAAUGAGGAGCUAAUCAGAGAAAGCCGAUCUCAGUUCGGAUCGAGGGCUGCAAUUCGUCCUCGUGAAGUUGGAAUCACUAGUAAUCGCAAAUCAGCCAUGUUGCGGUGAAUACGUUCUCGGGUCUUGUACACACCGCCCGUCAAACUAUGAGAGCUGGUAAUACCUAAAACCGUUAAGCUAACCUCGUGAGGCUUGCGUCUAGGGUAGGACUGGUAAUUGGAGUUAAGUCGUAACAAGGUACCCCUACGGGAAUGUGGGGGUGGAUCACCUCCUUUCUAACGGAGUUAAUUAAAUUUAAUUAACAAAUAUUAGAUAUAUUUGUGUACUUUAUUAAAAAAAUCCUAAACUGAAAUUUAUCUCAUGUUAUAUAAGAGUAAGUUCUAGGUCGGAUUCUAUUUAGUUUUGAGAGAUUUUUCUCUCAAGAUAGUUCUUUGAAAACUGAAUAUUAUAACAAUCUUUUUAGUCUAAUCAUACUUGUUAUUUUUCUAUAAAAAUAGCAAGAGGAUACAAUACAAAACAAAAUAAGUUACUAAGGGCCUAUGGUGGAUGCCUUGGGACUGGAAGGCGAUGAAGGACGUGCUAAUCUGCGAUAAGCUACGGGUAGUUGAUAAGAGACGUUUAUCCGUAGAUCUCCGAAUGGGGAAACCCAAUAGAUAGUGAUAUCUAUUAUCUUUUACUGAAUAAAUAGGUAAUUGAAGCGAUACCUGGUGAAGUGAAACAUCUCAGUAACCAGAGGAAAAGAAAACGAAGUGAUUCCGUAAGUAGCGGCGAGCGAAAGCGGAACAGGCCAAACCGGAUUAAUUUCCGGGGUUGUAGGACUACAAUGUGGACUUGGGAUAAAUAGUAGAAGUAGUUGGGAAGCUACACCAUAGAAGGUGACAGUCCUGUAAACGAAAUUUAUCUCAUACCUAGUAGUAUCCUGAGUACGGCGGGACACGUGGAAUCUUGUCGGAAUCUGCCCAGACCAUUGGGUAAGCCUAAAUACUAACCAGUCACCGAUAGCGUAUAGUACCGUGAGGGAAAGGUG
Molecule: ribosomal RNA, 2238 nt
Filed under: Malacoplasma penetrans
Lineage: Bacteria; Bacillati; Mycoplasmatota; Mycoplasmoidales; Mycoplasmoidaceae
Description: bacterial LSU rRNA
Rfam family: Bacterial small subunit ribosomal RNA (bases 1-1486)
Source: RNAcentral